Molecule: ribosomal RNA, 464 nt
Filed under: uncultured bacterium
Lineage: Bacteria
Description: partial 16S ribosomal RNA
Rfam family: Bacterial small subunit ribosomal RNA
Source: RNAcentral
GACGAACGCUGGCGGCGUGCUUAACACAUGCAAGUCGUACGGUAAGGCCCUUUCGGGGGUACACGAGUGGCGAACGGGUGCGUAACACGUGAGUAACCUGCCCACAACUUUGGGAUAACGCUAGGAAACUGGUGCUAAUACUGGAUAUGUGCUCCUGCUGCAUGGUGGGGGUUGGAAAGCUCCGGCGGUUGUGGAUGGACUCGCGGCCUAUCAGCUUGUUGGUGGGGUAGUGGCCUACCAAGGCGGCGACGGGUAGCCGGCCUGAGAGGGUGACCGGCCACAUUGGGACUGAGAUACGGCCCAGACUCCUACGGGAGGCAGCAGUGGGGAAUAUUGCACAAUGGGCGCAAGCCUGAUGCAGCAACGCCGCGUGCGGGAUGACGGCCUUCGGGUUGUAAACCGCUUUCAGCAGGGACGAAGCUUUUUGUGACGGUACCUGCAGAAGAAGCACCGGCUAACUACGU